Molecule: ribosomal RNA, 468 nt
Filed under: uncultured bacterium
Lineage: Bacteria
Description: partial 16S ribosomal RNA
Rfam family: Bacterial small subunit ribosomal RNA
Source: RNAcentral
GACGAACGCUGGCGGCGUGCUUAACACAUGCAAGUCGAACGGAAAGGCCCUGCUUUUGUGGGGUGCUCGAGUGGCGAACGGGUGAGUAACACGUGAGUAACCUGCCCUUGACUUUGGGAUAACUUCAGGAAACUGGGGCUAAUACCGGAUAGGAGCUCCUGCUGCAUGGUGGGGGUUGGAAAGUUUCGGCGGUUGGGGAUGGACUCGCGGCUUAUCAGCUUGUUGGUGGGGUAGUGGCUUACCAAGGCUUUGACGGGUAGCCGGCCUGAGAGGGUGACCGGCCACAUUGGGCCUGAGAUACGGCCCAGACUCCUACGGGAGGCAGCAGUGGGGAAUAUUGCACAAUGGGCGGAAGCCUGAUGCAGCAACGCCACGUGCGGGAUGACGGCCUUCGGGUUGUAAACCGCUUUCGCCUGUGACGAAGCGUGAGUGACGGUAAUGGGUAAAGAAGCACCGGCUAACUACGUG